Scylla paramamosain (green mud crab) is the source of this 565-nucleotide long non-coding RNA. RefSeq lists it as uncharacterized. The transcript is spliced from 3 exons. The record is from RefSeq and is a predicted model, not a curated record. NCBI's taxonomy places the organism in Eukaryota, Metazoa, Arthropoda, Malacostraca, Decapoda, Portunidae.
CAACACGAUUUAGGUCCCCCUUGAAAUCUGAGCGGUACCCCCUGCGACGGCAAAACUAACACCCCCGUUUUCUCCGCAGCGGAUGAACGGAUGCGCGAUGGACAAGAAGUCAAAUCUUGAGCAGCCGGAGAAGGAAGUCGGUCUACAUGAAUUCCUACCGGCCUACAUCAUCAACACCACCAAACAGAAAACGUUACGUAAGGCUUUGCAGGGAAACUUUAAGAAAUUCUCGGCGUUCUUCGAUUACGAAUCUCACUUCAAGUGCCUCGAGAUUUUGGGAAAAGUUGGAAAGUUUGACAUCGAAAACUUCCGCUGUGCACUCGGCUGUGGUUGGUCUAUUCCUGUCACUCUGCUUGUCGGCCCAAGUGUUGGUAUUUCCUACUGGACAGAUUCUGCCUCUGCCGUAGCAGGUACUACAGAAGCCCUCACCAUCACCAUCACCUGCCCCUCCAUUGGCGGAGCAGAGAGCUUAGCAGACCUGGUUGACAGCUACUGCAGGCUUGUCAACCAAUCCAGCAUGUCGCUGUGGACUGUGUGGAGAGAGAGAGAGAGAGAGAGAGAGAGA